This is a non-coding RNA of Phrynosoma platyrhinos (Desert horned lizard), 72 nucleotides long. Lineage: Eukaryota; Metazoa; Chordata; Lepidosauria; Squamata; Phrynosomatidae. The record is from the annotation of a GenBank genome assembly.
GCCAGCAUGGUGUAGUGGUUUGAAUAUUGGAUUAUGAAUCUGGAGUCCAGGGUUCAAAUCCUGGUUCGGCCA